Molecule: signal recognition particle RNA, 260 nt
Filed under: Candidatus Woesearchaeota archaeon
Lineage: Archaea; Nanobdellati; Candidatus Woesearchaeota
Description: partial signal recognition particle sRNA large type
Rfam family: Bacterial large signal recognition particle RNA
About the family: The signal recognition particle (SRP) is a universally conserved ribonucleoprotein involved in the co-translational targeting of proteins to membranes. Archaeal SRP consists of a 7S RNA and homologues of the eukaryotic SRP19 and SRP54 proteins.
Source: RNAcentral
GUGUGCUAGGCGGGGAGGUAGCGGUGCCCUGAACCUGCAACCCGCUCCAGCAGGGCUGAAUUCCUGCCCGAGGGGCGCGACUGUGAGGCAGCGCCGGGCAAGCAGUGUUGAGGGCUGGGUCCUGUGCAAUGGCGGCUCGUGAACCCCGUCAGGUCCGGAAGGAAGCAGCGGUAAGCGAUACCCGUCAUGUGCCGCAGGGGUGCCUGGCCUGAGCCGGCUACCCGGUGGCGCUCGGAAUCGUUGUCUCAACGGCAGGUGCA